RNAcentral lists this long non-coding RNA (1772 nucleotides) under Androctonus crassicauda. The record is from RNAcentral. Lineage: Eukaryota; Metazoa; Arthropoda; Arachnida; Scorpiones; Buthidae.
UUUGAAAAAAUAUAUGAACAAUUGUUUGAAAUCGGUUUAUCUCUACGGUACAGAAUUUUGUAAUGCUUUUUAUCUUUUUUUAAUAAGAGAUUAUUCAAUGGAAAUAUUAUAAAUAAGAAAAAUAUAUAAACAUGUAUCAUAACGCAUUUCCAAAUGCCACGAAACAUGUCUCGUAUAAAAAUUAUGAUCUAUUCUUCAGGUUGUCUUUGUGCCAAGGUAUCUCUUGCCAAUUUUUUAAAGUGUUGUCGAUGUUUAAAAUUGUUAUUAUUUUUUUCUACUUCUACAUUAUAUCGGAAUUUCUUACAAAGGAGCGAAAUUUGUGAGGGGAGAAAAACUCCUCGGAGUUUAUAUUUCUAAAAAAAAAAAAUGCGUAUACUUUUAAAUAACAAUUCUAACAAUUUUAGAUGUUGACAGCGAAUGAGGGUCAGAAAAUAAACAUGUUAUUAUCACUCAGAUUCCUUUCAAUGUCAGUUUGGCGUGUCCUUCUAUUAAUGCCAAGACUUGUUUGACGCAGAUUUGUGACGUUUAGCAGUAACCUUCUUAAGAAAAAUCGAUAAUAUCCACUAUAAGAAUAGCAAGUAAUGGAAAAAUAUCAAAAACAUUUAUAGAUUAAUACUAUUUUUCGACUUAAAUUUAACUUCGGUACGAUUUUUAUAUUCCUUUCUAGAGGUCGACCAAUAACGAUUUAGGUUAUGUAGACCGUUAUUUAUAAAACUGAUAUUUUUAUCGUUCUAUAAUGUACACAAAUUACAGAAAAAAUCCAUAAUCUACGUCAUCAAUUUAAUGUAAAAUGUAGUGGUGUACUAUAGUGUAGUGUACUAGUAGUAGAUAGUGUAGUGUAAUAGUGUAUUGUUGAAAUAUAUUGUGUAGCAAGUUAGAAAUUAUUGAGACAUUAAUAAAGAAAAUAAUUUCCAUUUUAGUUUACCAGAUAAUAGCAAGCUUGACUUACUCUACAAGUCAUUAAAAUAGUUGGCAGAACAAAAAAAAGCAAAAAUUUUAUUCUAAUAUUUUAACAAUAAGAAACGAAAUCAAAGGUAAAAAGUAGAAAAGUAAUUUUUAACAGGUUUCUUAAUGGGAAAUGGUCUGGAAGAAAAAGAAACUGGAUGGCUUAAAAACGCGAUUUAGAGCUAAAUAAAGUUGAGAUGUCCCGCUGUAAUUACAAGCGACGGUCAAUUGACUUGCACGUGCUGUGUCACGCGUGACCUGGCACGGUGAAAACAUUCCUAAUUAUAACGCUUGACGUCUAUCUUAAACAGAAGUAAUUAUAGAUUGUUAAAUAAAACCUGCUUAGCGAACUUAUCCAUAUUUUCAUUCAGGCGAAAAAGCUGACGUUAAAUAGAGCAAGUACACAGUUAAAUACGCACAUCAUCGGAAUUUCUCAAUAGAUUUUUUUUUUUGUUGUUGUUUUCUUCUUUCUAAAACUGUUUUUGAGUAAAUUAGAUCAUGGGCAUAUUUUUACCAAUUGCAGAAAUGUUUAAACGGUCGUAGUGACGUAUGUCGAAAAAGGAGGAACAUUUUUGAGAGUAUUACUCGAACUUAACGGAACGUGUACAGUAUAUAGAGUGAACCAGUCGGUGACCCAAGACAUUACGCUAGCGUCGAGAACUCACAUUCACGCUUUGUACAUAAGAGUGUUUUCUUGACAUCAAAAGAAAAGACGAUCCGUAGUUACCUCAACCAAAUCGGUAAUUAAAAAUGGCCGUUUUGUCAGACUCCAAAAAAUAUCUCUUCAUUCUGAUUCUAAAACGGAUGUUAGAAAAAUAAUGACUUCU